RNAcentral lists this ribosomal RNA (243 nucleotides) under uncultured bacterium. Its description in RNAcentral is "partial 16S ribosomal RNA". It matches the Rfam family "Bacterial small subunit ribosomal RNA", at positions 796 to 1041 of the family's 1533-position model. The record is from RNAcentral.
CAUGCCGUAAACGAUGAGUGCUAAGUGUUAGGGGGUUUCCGCCCCUUAGUGCUGCAGCUAACGCAUUAAGCACUCCGCCUGGGGAGUACGACCGCAAGGUUGAAACUCAAAGGAAUUGACGGGGGCCCGCACAAGCGGUGGAGUAUGUGGUUUAAUUCGACGCAACGCGAAGAACCUUACCAGGCCUUGACAUCCCUCGCAAAACUAUGGAGACAUAGCAGAGGUUAUCGAGGAGACAGGUGG